AAGUCGUAACAAGGUUUCCGUAGGUGAACCUGCGGAAGGAUCAUUAUCGAAGAAAACUCUUCAUACACCUGUGCACUGUAGCCCUCGGGCUCACACAAACACUAUUGUCGUCGUGAAUGUCUAGUUAUCAUAACAAACAUAA
This 142-nucleotide unclassified non-coding RNA is filed under the name plant metagenome. RNAcentral describes it as "partial contains small subunit ribosomal RNA and internal transcribed spacer 1". The stretch from base 1 to 46 matches the Rfam family "Eukaryotic small subunit ribosomal RNA", at positions 1786 to 1831 of the family's 1831-position model. The record is from RNAcentral.